CCCUCUCAUCCUAUCACUGUUACUGGGGAGAAGAAGCCAACCCCCACCUCACUACAACCUCCUUUCAGGUCAUAGAGAGAGAUAAGAUCUCCCCUGCGUCUUCGCCAGCCUGAACAAUCACAGUUCCCUUAGUGAAGAUGUAUUCUGACCAACUAGCUGCUGUUUUCAUUCUUUUCUGCUGUAUAUACAAAUGCUGUUUAUAAGGCAAAACAAACAAACAACUCCAAAAAACACGUCAUGGGAAAUAUAAUUUUCCCUGUAUCCUGCUUCCAGUUGUUCUUUCAUCUGAGGCAGUCUUCUAUUAUGUUUCUAUAAUGCAUAUCAGAUUGUCCACACAGCAAUUUAUAUACUCAGCAGUCCAGUGCUAGAAGUUUUAAAGAGCUGAAAUGUACUGUUCAGUUGCUGCUGGUUAAAGAUUCACAGCAAUAAUUUGAAAUUUAAUGCAUCCAAAAUUAUGCAUACUGAAAUGAAAUUGGAAUAUAAUAGCUGUACUUUCACGAAUGUCUUUCUUGCUUCUAUCUCCUCAUCAUCAGCCGCCAAACAUUAGUUCUUCGUCAUCUGAAACUUUUUGUUGUCAAAAAAUUACAGAGUUUCAUUUCUAUUCUACCUAUUGGAUUUGGUCUUCUAAAGCCAGUAUUGAAGGAUGAUAAAGAAAUCCAGAGCAGAUUUUAAAACUGGGACAUGAAGAGUCUGUACUGAAGUGUCUGUACUGAAGAUUCCAAAGGAGAACAUUCAGACACUGGGUUGUUUUUGUUUUCUUUGUUUGUUUGUUUGUUUUUCCUUUUCUCUUUUAAUGUUAUAAAUGGAAAGCCAAGAGACCCAGGUAUAAAGUUUCUCACACUUGUAAGUUUUGCCAGAACAAGGCAAGAUGUGUUCUUUUGUUGUAUCAGUCACAUUUUUCUUCACGUAUUUUUAUAUUCUCCUUCUCUUUGGGAUUUGAAGCUUGUUCAGAACCCAGUUGGAGAGCUGUACUUGUGCUAUUCUUAAAACAUUGUGAUAAUUUUAUUUCUUGAAUUUCUGUAGCUCCUGCCAGUCUUCUUAGGUUUUCAUUUAGUCAUAAAAAUCAAAGGAUUUAGUAAAAGUGUACUAAAGUCAUAGUUUUCAUUUAUAUAACAGUGCCAAUGUAGCUAUGCUUGUCUAAUGAUACCCUCAGUCUUUUAGCUUUUUCACUUAAAUCUUGUUUCAUUUGUCAAGUGUUGCCUGGAUAUACCAGUGUUAGCAAUACAUAGUAGGGGAAUGUGACUGUGUAGUGACAGGUAGCAGACUUCUUUGUGCUGAGGACAGAGCAGUGACCAAUAUUACAUGACCAGUGUUCCCUUCUGUAAUCAUCUGUGCCAUUAUUAUUAUCAAAGCUACUUCACAGUGAUUAAAAAAAACUCUCAAAUGCCUCCUUCUUCCAUGCACAGGGAGCUAUUAAACUUUAUUAAGCCAUGCACAAACUCAGUUUUUGAGUCCCUCUUCUAUAACAGAAGCUUUCUGCAGUGAACUCUACUCCUUCCACAGUGCUUCUGUGUUCAGACUCUGAAGUUUAAUCUACGUUCAGACCUCAGUAUUUGAAGCUUAAUUAACAAUUUCAAGUGAAGUUUUGUUAUAUGGGGUUUAUUAAGCUUGCUCGCUUUCUGUUGCACAGAUUGCAUACCCGUUCCUUGCUUAGUCCUCAAGCCAGCCCAAACUGCGAAUAGAUUCCUCUAUGGUAGAUUUUUGUGUUAACAAUCUCAAACACAGUAUGCUGUCAAGACACAGCCUAUUUCACCUUCAUGGCUAUAAACCACAUAUCUUUUCCUUAAGGCAUUGAAUUGUGCAGGAUAUUUGCAGAAUGACUGUAGAAUAGUUAUUAUACUUUCCGUCAUUAUGCUGAAGCCUACAAUAGCUGGUUUGGGUUUGGGUUGGUUUGUUUUUCCCCCCCAGCAGUGGAGACAUCUGAAAGCAUCAGAGGCUUCUGCUUCAUGUUCAACAGAGUAAAGACCUGAGUUCUUACUCUAUGUACUGGAUCUUGAGACAUGGACCACUUGCACAUUAAAGUCACACUCCUUGUUUCCAAUACAAAUGUGCAGUGAAAAAAAGCAACCACUCUGUAAGAAAAUGUGUGAUCAAAUGCUGGGAGAGUAGUAGAGCUGGAAUCCAGAAGAAGCAGUUAAAAAGCAGUCCUCCACUCCGAGAGGUAAAGAAUAAGGUCAGGGUACACAGCUGGCAAAACUGUGGAGAGAAAAGGGGAGCCAGAUAUAAAAUAGUAAGAAUGCAGUUGAGAAAUGCAAGUUAUUUUGAGGUGGCCAAACAAAUGGGAUAGAGAAGUCAAAAUAAUUAAAUGGUUAAUCCAUAUGGGCAAACUAGAAAACCAUAGUCGGGAACGCUGGAAACAAAUGGAAUAGGCUCCCCAGGGUGGUGGUUGAAUCGCCAUCCCUGGAUGUGUUUAA
This is a non-coding RNA of Coturnix japonica (Japanese quail), 2414 nucleotides long. The record is from RefSeq and is a predicted model, not a curated record. NCBI's taxonomy places the organism in Eukaryota, Metazoa, Chordata, Aves, Galliformes, Phasianidae.